GCAGGGGUUGCCCAGCCUGGCCAACCACGAACAUUCAUGCUUCACAUGAUUAUAUAGCCGUGGGUUUUAGGCGCGAGGCUUAGGACCUCGUCUCGUAGGAGUUCGCGGGUUCAAAACCCAUGUUGAAUACCAGCACGGGGGAAUAUCCCGCCCCCUGCA
RNAcentral lists this transfer RNA (159 nucleotides) under Candidatus Bathyarchaeota archaeon. RNAcentral's name for it is "tRNA-Leu". The record is from RNAcentral. Lineage: Archaea; Thermoproteati; Candidatus Bathyarchaeota.